UAUCGUGAGGUAGAAUCUAAAAGAAGCUGUAGGCAAAAUCUUGGUUCGACGAAUAGAAAUCACAUAUUAAGGAUGCAUAAAUUGGAUGAGUUUACUAGACAAAGUAAAGUCCAAUACUACACGAGGUUUAUAUAGUAAAUGUGGCAAGUGAUGAGAUGAAAGUG
RNAcentral lists this non-coding RNA (164 nucleotides) under human gut metagenome. The record is from RNAcentral.